RNAcentral lists this ribosomal RNA (520 nucleotides) under uncultured Glomeromycotina. RNAcentral describes it as "SSU rRNA". It matches the Rfam family "Eukaryotic small subunit ribosomal RNA", at positions 569 to 1092 of the family's 1831-position model. Lineage: Eukaryota; Fungi; Glomeromycota. The record is from RNAcentral.
AGCAGCCGCGGUAAUUCCAGCUCCAAUAGCGUAUAUUAAAGUUGUUGCAGUUAAAAAGCUCGUAGUUGAAUUUCGGGGUUCCUCCGUUGGUCGGGCUAUCCAGUCUGUACUAGCGUGUAGAAUUCCUACCUUCUGGGAACCAUCAUGUUAUUAAUUUAGCGUGGUGGGAAACCAGGACCUUUACCUUGAAAAAAAUUAGAGUGUUCAAAGCAGGCUUACGUCUGAAUACAUUAGCAUGGAAUAAUAGAAUAGGACGGUGGUCCUGUUUUGUUGGUUUCUGAAUCACCGUAAUGAUUAAUAGGGAUAGUUGGGGGCAUUAGUAUUCAAUUGUCAGAGGUGAAAUUCUUGGAUUUAUUGAAGACUAACUUCUGCGAAAGCAUUUGCCAAGGAUGUUUUCAUUAAUCAAGGACGAAAGUUAGGGGAUCGAAGACGAUCAGAUACCGUCGUAGUCUUAACCAUAAACUAUGCCGACUAGGGAUCGGACGAUGUUAAAUUUAUUGACUCGUUCGGCGUCCUUACG